Molecule: ribosomal RNA, 1058 nt
Filed under: uncultured bacterium
Lineage: Bacteria
Description: bacterial SSU rRNA
Rfam family: Bacterial small subunit ribosomal RNA
Source: RNAcentral
CCGAAUUCGUCGACACAGAGUUUGAUCCUGGCUCAGAACGAACGCUGGCGGCGUGGAUAAGACAUGCAAGUCGAACGGGAUUACACCUGUAGCAAUACAGGUGUGGUUCAGUGGCGAAAGGGUGCGUAACACGUGGGGAAUCUGCCGAGAAGUGGGGGAUAGCUCGCCGAAAGGCGAAUUAAUACCGCAUGUGACUAUCGAAGACAUCUUCGAGACGUCAAAGCCGGGGCAACCUGGCGCUUCUUGAUGACCCCGCGGCCUAUCAGCUAGUUGGUGAGGUAAUGGCUCACCAAGGCUAUGACGGGUAGCUGGUCUGAGAGGACGACCAGUCACACUGGAACUGAGACACGGUCCAGACACCUACGGGUGGCAGCAGUCGAGAAUUUUUCUCAAUGGGGGAAACCCUGAAGGAGCGACGCCGCGUGGAGGAUGAAGGUCUUCGGAUUGUAAACUCCUGUCAUUUGGGAACAAUUGUCACCGGUUAACUGCCGGGGGCUUGAUAGUACCAGAAGAGGAAGGGACGGCUAACUCUGUGCCAGCAGCCGCGGUAAUACAGAGGUCCCAAGCGUUGUUCGGAUUCAUUGGGCGUAAAGGGUGCGUAGGCGGCGGGGCAAGUUGGAUGUGAAAUCUCGGGGCUCAACCCCGAAACUGCAUUCAAUACUGCCUUGCUCGAGUACUGGAGAGGAGACUGGAAUUCAUGGUGUAGCAGUGAAAUGCGUAGAUAUCAUGAGGAAGGCCAGUGGCGAAGGCGGGUCUCUGGACAGUUACUGACGCUGAGGCACGAAGGCCAGGGGAGCAAACGGGAUUAGAUACCCCGGUAGUCCUGGCAGUAAACGGUGCACGUUUGGUGUGAGAGGAUUCGACCCCUUCCGUGCCGGAGCUAACGCGUUAAACGUGCCGCCUGGGGAGUACGGUCGCAAGAUUAAAACUCAAAGAAAUUGACCGGGGGCCCGCACAAGCGGGUGAAGUAUGUGGCUUAAUUUCCAUGCAACGCCGAAGAAACCUUACCAAGGCCUUUGACCUUGCAUUUGCUUAAGUCGGGGGAAAAAGCCCGGGGG